This 104-nucleotide transfer RNA is filed under the name Psilocybe cubensis. It matches the Rfam family "tRNA". Rfam says of the family: Transfer RNA (tRNA) molecules are approximately 80 nucleotides in length. Their secondary structure includes four short double-helical elements and three loops (D, anti-codon, and T loops). The record is from Rfam by way of RNAcentral. Lineage: Eukaryota; Fungi; Basidiomycota; Agaricomycetes; Agaricales; Agrocybaceae.
GGCCGUGUGGCGAAAUGGCAUCGCGUCUGACUACGAUCAGUACGUGCUCUUCUGGGUCCGUAGCCCGAAUCAGGAGAUUGUAGGUUCGACCCCUACCUCGGUCA